AUCCAGCUAUCGAGUCCCGAAUAGGACGAAACGUGCGUCCUGAAU
RNAcentral lists this non-coding RNA (45 nucleotides) under Schistosoma curassoni. The record is from RNAcentral. Lineage: Eukaryota; Metazoa; Platyhelminthes; Trematoda; Strigeidida; Schistosomatidae.